Molecule: long non-coding RNA, 131 nt
Organism: Dipodomys ordii (Ord's kangaroo rat)
Lineage: Eukaryota; Metazoa; Chordata; Mammalia; Rodentia; Heteromyidae
Exons: 2
Source: RefSeq, a predicted model, not a curated record
AAGCACUGGAUGAGGGAGAUAUCGCCUUGUUGAAAACUUAUGGGCAGAGCACUUACUCUAGGCAGAUAAAGCAAGUUGAGGAUGAUAUCCAGCAACUCCUUAAGAAAAUUAAUGAGCUCACUGGUAUGUAC